RNAcentral lists this ribosomal RNA (431 nucleotides) under uncultured bacterium. Its description in RNAcentral is "partial 16S ribosomal RNA". It matches the Rfam family "Bacterial small subunit ribosomal RNA", at positions 29 to 507 of the family's 1533-position model. The record is from RNAcentral.
AACGAACGCUGGCGGCAGGCCUAACACAUGCAAGUCGAGCGCCCUUUCGGGGGAGCGGCGGACGGGUGAGUAACGCGUGGGAAUAUGCUCUUCUCUACGGAAUAGCCUCGGGAAACUGAGAGUAAUACCGUAUACGCCCUGUGGGGGAAAGAUUUAUCGGGGAAGGAUUAGCCCGCGUUGGAUUAGGUAGUUGGUGGGGUAAUGGCCUACCAAGCCGACGAUCCAUAGCUGGUUUGGGAGGAUGAUCAGCCACACUGGGACUGAGACACGGCCCAGACUCCUACGGGAGGCAGCAGUGGGGAAUCUUAGACAAUGGGGGCAACCCUGAUCUAGCCAUGCCGCGUGAGUGAUGAAGGCCUUAGGGUUGUAAAGCUCUUUCAGCUGGGAAGAUAAUGACGGUACCUGCAGAAGAAGCCCCGGCUAACUCCGUG